GGCUCAGUAACACGUGGAUAAUCUGCCCUUAGGUCGGGGAUAACUUCUGGAAACUGAAGCUAAAACCUGAUAUGGAAAUUCUACUGGAAUGUGUUUUUCCGCAAACUCGUGCCUAAGGAUGAGUCGGCGGUCGAUUAGGUUGUUGGUGAGGUAAUGGCUCACCAAGCCUAUGAUCGAUAGGGGCCUUGAGAGAGGGUAACCCCGAGAAGGGCACUGAGAAUACUGGCCCUAGCCCUACGGGGUGCAGCAGGCGCGGAACCUUUUACAAUGCACGAAAGUGUGAUAAGGGAAUCCCAAGUGCUUUACUUUUAGUAAGGCUUUUGCCAUGCGUAAAUAGCAUGGCGAAUAAGUGGUGGGUAAGACUUGUGCCAGCCGCCGCGGUAACACCAGCGCCACAAGUGGCAACCGCUUUUAUUGGGCCUAAAGCGUCCGUAGCCGGUUCAGCAAAUUUUCUGUGAAAUCGUUAGGCUUAACUUAACGCCGUGCAGAAAACACUACUGGACUAGGGACCGGGAGGCGUCAGAGGUAUUCUUGAGGGAGCGGUAAAAUGCUAUAAUCUUCAGGAAGGACCACCGAUGGCGAAAGGCAUUCUGACCGAGAACCGGAUCCGACCGGUGAAGGGUCGAAAGCUUAAGGGGAGCAAAACCGGAUUAGAUACCCGAAGUAGUCCUAGCUGUAAACGCUGCGAGCUAGGUGUUACGUAUUCUUCGGGAAUACGUAGUGUCGAAGCGAAGGUGUUAAGCUCGCCGCCUGGGAAUUAUGGUCGCAAGACUGAAACUUAAAGGAAUUGACGG
Molecule: ribosomal RNA, 794 nt
Filed under: uncultured archaeon
Lineage: Archaea
Description: bacterial SSU rRNA
Rfam family: Archaeal small subunit ribosomal RNA
Source: RNAcentral